UACAGAGGGUGCAAGCGUUGUUCGGAAUUACUGGGCGUAAAGGGCGCGUAGGCGGCCUUCUAAGUCGAACGUGAAAUCCCCGGGCUCAACCCGGGAACUGCGUCCGAGACUGAAAGGCUCGAAUCCGGGAGAGGGAUGUGGAAUUCCAGGUGUAGCGGUGAAAUGCGUAGAUAUCGGGAGGAACACCUGCGGCGAAGGCGGCUUCCUGGACUGCAACUGACGCUGAGGCGCGAAAGCUAGGGGAGCAAACAGG
RNAcentral lists this ribosomal RNA (253 nucleotides) under uncultured bacterium. RNAcentral's name for it is "partial 16S ribosomal RNA". It matches the Rfam family "Bacterial small subunit ribosomal RNA", at positions 524 to 776 of the family's 1533-position model. The record is from RNAcentral.